This 1501-nucleotide ribosomal RNA is filed under the name metagenome. Its description in RNAcentral is "bacterial SSU rRNA". It matches the Rfam family "Bacterial small subunit ribosomal RNA". The record is from RNAcentral.
AGAGUUUGAUCCUGGCUCAGAACGAACGCUGGCGGCGCGUUUUAAGCAUGCAAGUCGAACGAUAGUACGGUGCUUGCACCGUAUGAGAGUGGCGAACGGGUGAGUUACACGUAGGUGAUUUACCUUUGGUUUUGGGAUAGCCUGUGGAAACACAGGGUAAUACCGGAUGAGGUUUUCAGGUCAAGGUCUGGAGAUGAAAGGCGCUAAGGCGCCGACUGGAGAUGAGCCUGCGGUCCAUUAGUUAGUUGGUGGGGUAAAGGCCUACCAAGGCGACGAUGGAUAGCCGGCCUGAGAGGGUGGCCGGCCACACUGGAACUGAGACACGGCCCAGACUCCUACGGGAGGCAGCAGCUAAGAAUCUUCCGCAAUGGGGGAAACCCUGACGGAGCGACGCCGCGUGGACGAUGAAGGCCGGAAGGUUGUAAAGUCCUUUUCUUGAUGAAGAAUAAGGUUAAGAGGGAAUGCUUAAUUGAUGACGUUAGUCAAGGAAUAAGCCCCGGCUAAUUACGUGCCAGCAGCCGCGGUAACACGUAAGGGGCGAGCGUUGUUCGGAUUUAUUGGGCGUAAAGGGCGCGUAGGCGGCCCGGAAAGCCUGGUGUUAAAAACAACAGCUUAACUGUUGGUAAGCGCUGGGAACUUUCGGGCUGGAGUUCUGGAGGGGAAGCUGGAAUUCCUGGUGUAGGGGUGAAAUCUGUAGAUAUCAGGAAGAACACCGGUGGCGAAGGCGAGCUUCUGGCCAUGAACUGACGCUGAGGCGCGAAAGCGUGGGGAGCGAACAGGAUUAGAUACCCUGGUAGUCCACGCUGUAAACGAUGUACACUGGGUGUUUGUGGGUUAACCAUGAGUGCCGUAGCUAACGCGUUAAGUGUACCGCCUGGGGAGUAUGCUCGCAAGGGUGAAACUCAAAGGAAUUGACGGGGGCCCGCACAAGCGGUGGAGCAUGUGGUUUAAUUCGACGAUACGCGAGAAACCUUACCAGGGCUUGACAUAUGCAGGGAGGCGUGGGAGACCACGCUGCCUCUUUGAGGUCUGUAUACAGGUGCUGCAUGGUUGUCGUCAGCUCGUGCUGUGAAGUGUUGGGUUAAGUCCCGCAACGAGCGCAACCCCUGCUGUCUGUUGCUAACAGGUAAUGCUGAGGACUCAGACGGUACUGCCGGUGACAAACCGGAGGAAGGUGGGGAUGACGUCAAAUCAUCAUGGCCCUUAUGUCCUGGGCUACACACGUGCUACAAUGGCCUGUACAGAGUGAUGCGAGGCCGUGAGGUGGAGCAAAUCACAGAAAGCAGGUCUCAGUACGGAUUGGAGUCUGAAACUCGGCUUCAUGAAGUUGGAAUCGCUAGUAAUCGCGCAUCAGCAUGGCGCGGUGAAUACGUUCCCGGGCCUUGUACACACCGCCCGUCACACCACCCGAGUUGGGGGUACCCGAAGUCGCUUGUCUAACCUUAACGGGGGACGGUGCCGAAGGUAUGCCUGGUAAGGGGGGUGAAGUCGUAACAAGGUA